GGUGAUUUCUGACAUUUGCAAAUGUGUUUAUUUAUAGUAAUGGAUCCCGAUCCCGACCGAGCGGUAGCUGAUGAUCUUGAGAGUGUAGCGCCUGCUCCCGUAAAAGGGACAGCGCCAGCGGACUCUCAACCUAAUGCUAGUAAUCCGAAUGAUGAGGCUAGACAAGCUUUCUAUAGCGUGAUGAAUGAUUGGUUCAACCAAUACAUUCGAACUAAUACGGCUGUUCCACAACCUCCAUUCCCG
RNAcentral lists this long non-coding RNA (243 nucleotides) under Gossypium barbadense (sea-island cotton). RNAcentral's name for it is "long non-coding RNA (GBAR_LNC007314)". Lineage: Eukaryota; Viridiplantae; Streptophyta; Magnoliopsida; Malvales; Malvaceae. The record is from RNAcentral.